AAUAUACAAAAAUUCUAAAGUAUUCAGAGCUACUAAACACAAGCGGAAGCAAGAAAACACGAGUAGGUUGAACAGGUAACCUACUGGCGAAAACUGGCAGAAAUGCGGGUGACUAUGCCUCGUCUCCUACUAGAUCCAACCCGAACUCUGCAGACUGGGCAAUUUAAAACGAAGGGCCCAGGGGAAAACAUUUAAUAACGUUAGAGUGAGUGGACAAAAAUAAAAUAAUAAAUAAAAUAUUUAUGUUUCCCCAAAUUAAUCUAAGGAAAAAUCGAAUGCAUGCCGCAAGCGAUAAAACUUUUAUCCCAUAAAAUAUCGAGCCUCUCAGACUCUAUAAUAUAUGUAUGUAUUUACACACGCCCAUACUCCCUAUAUAAAUUCAUGGGUCUAUAUAGGGCUACUACGCUCGCGUCCAACGCUCACGUCACGCCUUAAUGCGGUGCUACACUACGCCAUUAAGAUGGACAGACGGGUGUAUAAAUAUGUGUCCAUACCCCCUAUAUGAAUUAAACACUCAAAUAGGGCUACUACGCUUACGUCCAACGCUCACAUCACACCAUAAUGCGGCUAUAUGCUACGCCAUUAAGGUGGACAGACACAUAUGGCUAGCUAGCAUUUUCUAUACAUACUCUCUCAUAUAUUCAUAUUUAUAUUCACCGAAAAUCCCAUUUUCGGUAACUCUCUCUCAGAGAAAUAAAAGCGUCAAAAUUAAUUGACGUCAAAACUCCAACAAAGGAAAUGUUCAAUCAUGAACCAUAGCAUGCAUAUUAUUUCAAAUAAAAGUCCACUCACAAAUUAGGCCUAAGCCUGCUGUCGAUCUGGGGUCUCGUCUGCUCGAGCCUCCUCACGACCUGUUCCAAAUAUAAUAUUAAUUUCCCAACCAAUAAUCCAAUAUUUAAUCAAAAUAGGCAAAAUUACCCGAGAGUCAUAAUUACGCUCAUCAUUGCCUAACUUCGAUAUUCUUACAUCGGACGAUCCGAACUUAAAUAUCAUACUCCACAGUCGUAAAUAUAACCUCCUCAAAAUACGACUUAAAUCCUACG
RNAcentral lists this long non-coding RNA (1043 nucleotides) under Fragaria vesca (wild strawberry). Its description in RNAcentral is "long non-coding RNA (FVES_LNC004293)". Lineage: Eukaryota; Viridiplantae; Streptophyta; Magnoliopsida; Rosales; Rosaceae. The record is from RNAcentral.